UUCUUCAGUUCAUGGGAUUUUAUUUCAGGAGAAUUCAAACAUUCACGUAUUGGAGAAGAUGACACAUUUCUUGAAUGUCUUGGGCUUUGAGCUGAAUGCACUAACUAGAAGGGACUUCAGAUUGUCCUCCUUCGGGGGAGGUAAGUAUAUUCUUCAUAUACAGGUAAGAGUGAAAUGAUAGAAGAAUGUUCCUCCUCUCCUUUUCUUCCUGGACAACAGAUCAAAUAUUUCUCAGAUCUUUUACAGCUGAAUUGGAGUCACAUGGACAGGUAUGAUCUUAAAAUAUAAAAAAUUAUUUUAAAAUUACAUGCUAAAAUUUUAUAAAAAUAAAUGCUAAAACUAACUUAAACGGAAGCAUUUGAUUAAAAAAUUUAUCCAAAAAAGUUUGAAUUUUAUAUGAAACAGGAUAGAAGAUGAAAAAGCUAAAGAAAUAAAAUAUAAAUAAAUUAUGGCUGGGGACAGUGGCUCACACCUGUAAUCCCAGCACUUUGGGAGGCUGAGGUGGGAGGACUGAUUGAGGCUAGGAGUUUGAGACCUGUUAUUUGAGGCACAUGGGAAGGAAAGUUUUCUUUGAGAUAUUCCACAUUUUAUAAUAUUCUUCAAGAGAUUUACAGAGUUCCUUGAGUGAAUUGUUGGUUUGUUCUUAAUACUGAAUUUCCUAUUCAAAUUUAUUUAGAAGUUCAUUUCUUACAGUGAUCUCAUCUCCUAUUAAGAUAUUCUUCAAGGUAGGUUCUUGGCCAGUUUCUCAAUGACAGAUUUUUAAAAAUAUUGUUAAUCUUUUUAUUAAUAUGAGAACAUAAUUGUUCCAGAUCUGGAGGCCAUCCUUUAAGCUUCUUGCAACAGUCUGGGAGCAAAGAGUUUACUCGCCACUGGGUAGUGGGCCAUGGACACCCCAGUCUCCACCAGAAGUUCGGGAUUGCAAAAUGGGACUCUGGCAGCAAAUUUCAAACUGUAUGCCAGACCUGGCCCUUUGCAGUGAUAUAAAAUUUUUCUUGAGGUGUCUGGAAAGAUGGCUGAAUAGGAACAGCUCUGCUCUGCAGCUCCCAGCGAGAUCAACGCAGAAGGAGAUAAUUUCUGCAUUUCCAACUAAAGUACCCAGCUCAUCUCAUUGGGACUGGUUAGACAGUGGGUGCAGCCCACAGAAGGCAAGCAGAAGCAGGGUGGGGUGUUGCCUCACCCGGGAAGCGCAAGGGGUCAGGGAACUCCCUCCCCUAGCCAAGGGAAGCUGUGAGGGACUGUGCCGUGAGGAACGGGGCAUUCCGGCACAGAUACUAUGCUUUCCCCACGGUCUUUGCAACCCACAGACCAGGAGAUUCCCUUGGGUGCCUGCACCACCAGGGCCCUGGGUUUCAAGCAAAAAACUGGGCAGCCAUUUGGGCAGACACUGAGCUAGCAGCAGGAGUUUUUUUCAUACCCUAGUAGCCCCUAGAAUGCCAGCGAGACAGAACUGUUCACUCCCCUGGAAAGGGGCACUGAAGCCAGGGAGCCAAGUGGUCUAGCUCAGCAGAUCCCACCCCCACGGAGCCCAACAAGCUAAGACCCACUGGGUUGAAAUUCUCGCUGCCAGCACAGCAGUCUGAUGUCCACCUGGAAUGCUUGAGCUUGGUGCAGGGAGGGGCGUCUGCCAUUACUGAGGCUUGAUUAGGCAGUUUCCCCCUCACAGUGUAAACAAAGCUGCUGGGAAGUUUGAACUGGGUGGAGCCCACUGCAGCUCGGCAAAGUUGCUGUAGCAAGAGUGUCUCUCUAGAUUCCUCCUCUCUGAGCAGGGCAUCUCUGAAACAAAGGCAGCAGCCCCAGUCAGGGACUUAUAGAUAAAACUCCCAUCUCCCUGGGACAGAGCACCUGGGGGAAGGGGCAGCUGUGGGCACAGCUUCAGGACACUUAAACGUUCCUGCCUGCUGGCUCUGAAGAGAGCAGCAGAUCUCCCAGCACAGUGCUCAAGUUCUGCUAAGGGACAGACUGCCUCCUCAAGUGGGUCCCUGACCCCUGUGCCUCCGGAGUGGGAGAGACCUUCCAGCAGGGGUCAACAGACAUCUGGUGGGUGCCCGUCUGAGACGAAGCUUCCAGAGGAAGGAACAGGCAGCAAUCUGUGCUGUUCUGUAGCCUGCGCUGGUGAUACCCAGGUAAACAGGGUCUGGAGUGGAUCUCCAACAAACUCCAGCAGACCUGCAGCAGAGGGGCCUGACUGUUAUAAGGAAAACUAACAAACAGAAAGGAAUAGCGUCAACAUCAACAAAAAGGACAUCCACACAAAAACCCCAUCCGAAGGUCACCAGCAUCAAAGACCAAAGGUAGAUAAAUCCAUGAAGAUGAGGAAAAACCAGUGCAAAAAGGCUGAAAAUUCCAAAAACCAGAACACCUUUUCUCCUGCAAAGGAUCACAACUCCUUGCCAGCAAGAGAACAAAACUGGAUGGAGAAUGAGUUUGACGAAUUUACAGAAGGAGGCUUCAGAAGGUGGGUAAUAACAAACUCCUCUGAGCUAAAGGAGCAUGUUCUAACCCAAUGCAAGGAAGCUAAAAAUGAAAAAAGGCUGGAGGAAUUGCUAACUAGAAUAACCACUUUAGAGAAGAACAUAAAUGAUCUGAUGGAGCUGAAAAACACAGCACGAGACCUUCGUGAAGCAUACAGAAGUAUCAAUAGCUGAAUCGAUCAAGCAGAAGAAAGGAUAUCAGAGAUUGAAGAUCAACUUAAUGACAUAAAGUGUGACGUCAAGAUUAGAG
Molecule: long non-coding RNA, 2721 nt
Filed under: Homo sapiens (human)
Lineage: Eukaryota; Metazoa; Chordata; Mammalia; Primates; Hominidae
Description: long intergenic non-protein coding RNA 1949
Source: RNAcentral